GCCUUCGUGAUGUGGUGGUCAGCAUGCUUGGCAUGUAUUCGAGAGGUCCGUGGUUCGAAUCCCGGCGAGAGCA
Stegodyphus mimosarum is the source of this 73-nucleotide non-coding RNA. Lineage: Eukaryota; Metazoa; Arthropoda; Arachnida; Araneae; Eresidae. The record is from Rfam.